GACAGAGGGUGCGAGCGUUAAUCGGAUUUACUGGGCGUAAAGGGCGCGUAGGUGGUUGAUUACGUCAGAUGUGAAAAGCUCGGGCUUAACCUGAGUAGGUCAUCUGAAACGGAUCGACUAGAGAACAGAAGAGGGAAGUGGAAUUUCCGGAGUAGCGGUGAAGUGCGUAGAUACCGGAAGGAACACCAGUGGCGAAGGCGGCUUCCUGGUCUGUUUCUGACACUGAGGCGCGAAAGCGUGGGGAGCGAACAGG
RNAcentral lists this unclassified non-coding RNA (253 nucleotides) under uncultured Gammaproteobacteria bacterium. RNAcentral's name for it is "contains 16S-23S intergenic spacer region". It matches the Rfam family "Bacterial small subunit ribosomal RNA", at positions 524 to 776 of the family's 1533-position model. The record is from RNAcentral. Lineage: Bacteria; Pseudomonadati; Pseudomonadota; Gammaproteobacteria.